Molecule: transfer RNA, 72 nt
Filed under: Sphaerodactylus townsendi
Lineage: Eukaryota; Metazoa; Chordata; Lepidosauria; Squamata; Sphaerodactylidae
Description: tRNA-Ala
Rfam family: tRNA
About the family: Transfer RNA (tRNA) molecules are approximately 80 nucleotides in length. Their secondary structure includes four short double-helical elements and three loops (D, anti-codon, and T loops).
Source: RNAcentral
GGGGCUGUAUCUCAGUGGUAGAGCAUCUGCCUGGCUUGUAGGGGGUCCCUGGUUCAAUCUCCAGCAUCUCCA